Molecule: small RNA, 147 nt
Filed under: Pseudomonas panipatensis
Lineage: Bacteria; Pseudomonadati; Pseudomonadota; Gammaproteobacteria; Pseudomonadales; Pseudomonadaceae
Description: Pseudomonas sRNA P14
Rfam family: Pseudomonas sRNA P14
Source: Rfam by way of RNAcentral
UUGCACAUUUUUUGCACAACUGCACGGUCCGAUAACUGCAAACUCUGCUCCAACAUGAAAAAAAAGUGCUCUACUUGCGCUUGGUCAGUUUACUUACUACAAGUAAUGAGUACUAUGUAGUCCGGCUAAUUUCCCAGUCAUGGGAGA